Molecule: non-coding RNA, 7001 nt
Organism: Xyrichtys novacula (pearly razorfish)
Lineage: Eukaryota; Metazoa; Chordata; Actinopteri; Labriformes; Labridae
Source: the annotation of a GenBank genome assembly
UUAAAUGCUGUCACUAGAUGGCGCCUUUGUGUACUUAUUUUACUGUUCUGUCAAAGGUUGCACUGUGCGUGCAGAUGUGACAUCAUUGCGCUGAAUGUACAUCUUGUUAUGUUUCCGGAGGAAUAGACACAGCACCUGCGGUUGUGUUUUAUGCCAGUGUUAAUAAUGAACCUCCUGUACUGGCCUCAAUAAAUAAGCCAAAGGCUAAAGAGUGAAGAUCGAGUCAGGUACGAGAGUCACGAUCGGAAUAAGUGUAUGGACGCGUUUCCGAAAGACGGUCGGCAUAAACCACCGCUCUCGAUCGGAAUACAAUUUCUUUCCGAUUGAGCCAAAUUGGAUCAAAAUCUUCCGAUGGACAUGUUUACAUGACACAUUUCUAUUCCGAUCUGGCAUUUACUCCGAUUAUCUGUGCCCAUGUAAACGCAGCUAUUGGCUCACAUGGGGGGGGACUACUUUUCAGGUCUUGAAAACACAUUACGGAUUGUUAAAGUAAUACUUUAAGAUUGAUUGAUUGAAAAGCAGAGAUCAUGAAAGUCUCCUGAGCAACAAUAUUGUAUUGAUCGAUCGACUUGUCACCUCUGACUGUCAUACCAAGCACACCAAAUCAAUCUUCCCACUACAUCACCUCCUUGCACCUCAGGUAAGACACCCAAAACAGCUAAGAUAGAGUGCCUGGCUUUGUCGUUUUUAAGUGCGAACAGUGAAUAAGAACAGCUUGUUUGAGUUAACAGAAAUAUCAAGGUUCAGUUCAAAGUAAGGGCUGAUGGGGGAGUGUUUAGAAACAGCCCUGCUGCUCAGCAGGUAACUCUUAAGCAUAAUGAUGAACAACACAGCAGGUAGAGCCCUGAGAGCCCAGCGGCAUCUCCUGAACGCCAUUCACUAUUUCCAUUGAGUAGUAAAACAGCUGCUAGCCCUAAAACAAAUAGAACACUGAGUGCAGCAUGUCUUCUUGGGGGCCCCUAAAAGCAAUAGCAGUAAGUGAUCGUGUGCUGCAACAUGAUCUAAGACAAUCAUAAGACCUGAGAAAAGUCCAGUAUAUCUCUGCCAGGACAGACACCAGAGGGAAUGAGAUAGUAAAACUCAAUAUAUACAGCCUCAAAGAUUAAAAAAAUACUUCUUUCCAAAAAACUUCAACUUUUCAAAGACGUAAUAUCAUCUCUCCCAGCAGAUCAAAUUUGCAGGAAUGUAUUUCAUGGUAAGUCUGUUUAUCAUUGCUAACAUAAAGCUGUUCUGGAGAGGAACUUGAGAACAAAACCUCUUGAUUUUCUCCUCAAGAAAAGUAGAUUUCGAGAGUGGAAAGUAAGCUAUGAUAGAAAAUAGCACUUAAGUGUGUUUAGUUCCUACAUUGAAUUGAUUGGGGAAACAGUUAUAUGUGUUUUUCCCCUUGUUUUUGUCCAUAUUGUACUUAUGAACCUUGAUAUAAAAAAGAAACAGAUAUGAUCAUCUAAAUGUAAUAAUAAUGCAUUAGAUUUUUAUAGUGCUUUUAUUAGACUCUCAAAGCACUUCACAUUGAAUAGAUCAUUCAUUCACUCACACAGUCACACCCUGGUGGUGGUAAACUACCUUAAUAGUCACGGAGAUAUGGCUGCCAGUUUGCACCUACAGCCUCUCUGACCACCACCACCACACAACACUCACAACCAUACACCAGUGGAGGACAUGCACUGAAAGCAAGAUGGGUAAAGUGUCUUACCCAAGGACACAAUGGACAGACUAGGGAUAGGGGAGGAAUCGAACCACCAACCUUCUUGUUAUUGGACGACCACUCUUCCUCCUGAGCUACUGUCGCCCCAUAUCUCAUUACUCUCACUUUGCAGUAACUUCAAACCGUGUAUUAAGUGGUUUCUUUUUGGAAAACACUCCAAAUUUGCACAAAAAUUUUCACAUGAGACAGAUUCCAAAUAUUGCUAAAAAUUAUUUCCUAACAACUACAAAUGCAUCUUACAGGCUAAAAGGUCAUUAAGUUCUUUUACUUUAAGACUUUUACUUUUUCCUGCAGAUCAUUUGUUUUCACACCGCAAUACUGUAAAGCAGGCCAAAGCACAUACCAUCAGUGGGGUUGUCUUUAUGUCAUCACGCCAUAGCUUCAUUUUCCUACCGUGAAGAAAAGCAAAUGCCGCUCACAGUGGUCUCUCUGCAUGGUGAGGAGUCACUGUAUCGGUUCAAAGAACAACCCUGUAGUCUGGCAACUGUUGGCUGUUUGUGUAAGAUGUUAAAGUUGUUACAACAUCUGACGAAAAACCUACAGACUCCUUGUUACGCAUCUCAAUUCAUCAAAGUAUUGAAGGUUAAACUUGCUAAUCAGAUAUGUCUUCAAUGAAGAACUAAAGGCGUUUGAUAGAAGCACAUUCAGCUGAAAGUUUUCACCAACAACUGUGGGAAAGAUGUGGCUCAUGUCAAAGCAGGUAUUUGUUAUGGAACUAAGAAGGAAGAAUCCACUUCUUCUGGUCAUGUUUGUUUGUAGUUGUGUAAAGUAACCGACUGAAACAAGACAAGGACAAAACACUGAGAACUCUGAUUCUCCGAUCCAUGACUGGACAUUGAAGCUGCCUUGCCCCAAACGCACCAUACACCAGAAGCCAGCAUGUGGCAGCAAAAGGGCUACGUGUGUUUAUGGAGGCAUGAAGAGUGAAGCCCGCAGCUUUGCAGUAAAUCCUGGUCCAUCUCACGGGACUUGAGGAAACAGUUAAUAGCAUUCAAACAUCCCAGGGGAGAAACUACACUUGGACACUUUUAAAGGGGCUGGUUUACCGAGCAGGCGUGGCUAAUGGCAUGUAGUGAUGCUUUUGCUUUGUCUUUCUCCCCCUGCAGUGUUUUUUAAAUAUAAGGAUCAGUCCCUGCAUAGGUUCAUUUAGGUAUGACCUUCUCAAAUGUACCACCAGUUACUCUUUAAGUGCUGAAACACAAAAUGUAGACAAGAAAAUGUUGAUAAAAAAUAUUAUAAAACAAAUAAUCCUAAAGUUUUUGCCUUUCCCUGAAAACUUGCUGCUACAUUUUCCCCUCCUGCAUUUAUGAUGGAGUAACAACUGUCCUGCAGUGUAGAUUAGCACAGCGGGGAGAUUCCUCAGUGGCCACCCACUGUUUGCCUUUGAGACGGAGAAUGGCUGCUAGUGUAUCUAACAGAGGAAACACAAGAGACGUCCUUGAAGGCCUCGUCAUGAAUGCUGGGCUCAGAAAGAGAAACCUAACUUUGAUUUGGAAAAUAUAGACCCAGAGGAGCAGUGAAAGUGCUUCAAACGAUAUCAGAGAGGGAAAAAAAGGAUGAAGCUGCAACCCACAGUACCUGAUGACACUGGGUUAUAGUGUCCAUAAUGAUAGAGUGACAGCAGGGAGGAUGGAGAGAUGUAAAAAAAAGGACAAGCUGUGUUUCUAUCAAUACUGACUAUUUCCGACACAUGCCACUCUCUUUUUCUAUUAUCCCCUUAAAACUGUACUCAGAGGUAUACAGAAAGAAAGGUUGUUGAAGCAAAAUAAAAAACUGAAAAUGAUUGGAAUAGCACAGAGAAAGAGAAUAUGUGGUACAUGAAAUACAAGAACACGGAACAACAAAAGGGUAUGUUGUCAGUCACGUUUGAAUUGGUAGUCAAAGGUAAACUGAGACAAUCCUGCCCUCUACUGAGCAACAUGAUACAAAGCUGCCCCAGACACAGUACAAAGGCAGAUCCCACUAUAAAAAAUAAUCGUAAAUAUAUACAGUAUAUAUUAAAAAAAGAGUCCCAACUAACUUUUCUAAGUAACGUAGGAACAGAGCAUUUGCUCCUCCAUUUUUUUUACUUUAAGAAAAUAAACUUUCAUAAAAUGGUGUUUCUCCUAACCCUUCAACAUAAUGAUCAAGGUGGCUAAGCUAUGACCAUUGUUUAGAGUUGGUACCCAAAAUGCAAAUCAGACAGAGGAAGGUUUCAUAGAUUUCUUUGAAUGGAUGAGUGCAGUUAGGAGGGAAUCCUGAGGCCAAGUCCAGAGAGAACAAGUCCAGGAGAAUGUACUGGGUUGUGAGCUGGAGAGAGGGAGGAGGGAAGGCAAAAUAAGGAGCAGUCUAGAGUAAAAAACAAAAAAACCUGAAAAGGUUCACAAGGAUCUCUAGAGAUAUGGCGGCGAUAAUACUCUGGUGCUGAAGCUUGUGUCGGCAGCAGUCUUAAAGCCGGCUUGAUUGCAGAGUGGAGACAGGUGAGCUUAUUCAGCCUUAGCGUUGCAGGUGGGGGAAGGGCGCAGUCUCUGGAACAGGUGAAGUGAAACGCACACAACCCAUACUGGGAACGGGAUCCAAACCAAAAUAAAAGUAUAUGCUCACCACAAAAGCAGUUUUUUCAGGAUGUGGGGACCACAUGUAGAAAAAUAAGUCCUGUCCAAGACAGAACACAUUACUUAAGUUUGACUUUUCUUUUGAUGCCUUUUAUAAUAAUGAACUGUUUAUACACAGAAAUCUACUCAAAGAGUAGAAAUCAAUUGAAGAAUUAUCCAUAGUUUAUUAGUCAAUUGCAAAAUUUGGUAAUCCUGGUUUGUAGAUUAUGCAGGACUUGCAUUUCAUUGUAUUUGACAGUAGGAACAGUUUUACAGACACAUAGAGGUUCAGCUAUUCUAGUGUUACUGAACCCUUCUUUAACAUGAAACUGAUUUAAAGGUGCUUACAAAGAGACUUGAUGGGAGUGGAUAGUGAUGGGGAGCAUUACUUGCACUCAUAACCUUAUAAAUGUACAGAUAGAAGUAGCUUUUAUGUUGCAAGAUCAGCCGGAGAAGCACAGUCCUCUGCAGCAAGCAGCAUUGUUAUGUUGUCUUUUUCCCUUUCACCCUAUAAGCUGAACUAAAAAACAGCUAUUGCAGUUUUAGAGCCGCAGCACCACCGGCAUUUUCUCCUUGAAUCUGCAUAUGAGUUUUUCACAGACGACAAGUUCCUCUCCUCCAGGCACAGCUUUACAAUUCACAGUAAAGUUGAUUUGUUCCUCUGAAAUAUUGCUAGAACAUUUCCACGAACUAUUUGCUGUUCCUUCUACUUUUUCACUCAUGCACAAGUUAAGCUAGUCAAGCUAGCAGAAGUUUCAUAUCAAUAGAUUACCUUUAUAAAAAAAGGCUCUCUUAAAGUUGCGGAAGUGAUUUGUUACAUUAUGAGCUACACUAAAAAGUAAAAAGUAAAGUGUGACAGAUUACUUUGUCUGCUUUGUUUCUACAGUAGUACAGAAUGGACAAACCACACAGAAGAGUAGUGAUUGUCAUCUGCAAAAGGAGAGUAUUGAAAGCAUUAAAAUCUUAAUAAAUGGAGCAUCAAAUGAUGUCUCACAGUGACCUCUUGUCCUUAAAGGUCACCGUCUAUCCACCAAGGGGAGGGGUGAGCAAGGGAGCGUUUCAUUUACAUCUUUUCACCGACAGUCAGAAAACAAAGGUUCUAGAUAAUUCUUCUGGGGACUCUUUUCAUUGUAUGAUUUUAUAAUUUGCCCUUGAGUGAUUUCACACAAUGACACAGAUUAAUUGAUAGGAAGUGCUCACUCUUCCCUCACAUCGGCAAAGAGAUUUAAAGCUAAGCAUGUCCCACAUUGCUUUGGGUAGAUAGUGAAAAUUAUCCCUCUUCAUGAUCCCAUGUGCUAAUCCUCAUAUUAGACCUCAUGUCUUGGCUCAGCUCACUGACUGCAGAAUUCAUUAUUAAGACUCUAAUCUCAUGCACUGUGUGAUUACUCUGGUCAUGGUUGGUGAAUACUGAAAAUGCUGGGUGACAAAAUACCACACUCAGACAUAACUACAGUCAGAGGACAAUUAUCUGUAUUAUCUUCGUUAUUAAAUGGCACAACAUCAAGUCAAGUCAUGGUCAAAGCUAGAUCCAAAAAUGUAGGUCCAAGGCACAAAGACUUUAGACUCUAUUUUUCAAAGACCCAAUGUAAAGAUGACAGUGAGCCCCACCCUGUGAGAUCAGAACCACUCUCAUCCCAUCUUCAACCACGAGUGUAGCUCUUUAGAAAGUCACAGUGGCAAGAAAAACUUCAGACUCAUGUAAAACAGUCAUCUGCUGCUAUGUUGGGUUAAAAGAGAGAAUAGAUGGAGAUACUGAUAGAGGGAGAGUUGUUGAUCAUGAUUCUUAGUUAUUGAUCUGUUCAAUAUGUGGGGAUGUAGCUCAGUGGUAGAGCGCAUGCUUCGCAUGUAUGAGGCCCCGGGUUCAAUCCCCGGCAUCUCCAUCUUUCUGAGUCUGGAGAAUGUCCCAAGUUGGUGGAAAAUUUCCUGUGUGCUUCCUGUUCCUAAGACAUCAAGCAACAGGGGGCCCAACCUUCAGACCUGUAGCCCCUCACUUCUCAUCUGAUGAAGAUCUUCAACAAGAUUGUCUUUCACAACCUCUGUCCACUGGUGAACCCAAAUCCUUUGUUUUUCUUGUCUGUUAAGACAGGGUACAUCGUUUUCAGUUUUCUGUUUCAGCACACAUCACACAAUGAAGUGCUGAUAUUUUAGUAGUAUGCACAUAAUCCAAAACACCAGUUGGAAAAAAAAGAGCUUGUUAUGUUCCUUUUUUGGAGCAAUAUAAGACGAACAAUCAUUGUGCAACACUGAGGUAGCCACCCAAUGACAGAUUUACAACUAUCUUUACCUUUACUGCCAAUGCUGGUAUAUCAUAUUAUAUGGCAUAGGUCUGAAAGUCAGACUCCCUGUAGUUUGAAGUCUUUGAGAAAGGAAGUUCUUUCACAUAGUUGGAACACUCCCUACACUCAGAAAGUUGGAGAUGCCGGGGAUUGAACCCGGGGCCUCAUACAUGCGAAGCAUGCGCUCUACCACUGAGCUACAUCCCCUCACAUUAAAACAUUGAUUAACAAAGUAAUAGAAGGUUUUGGUUUUAUUAGAUAAAACAGUCAACGUUGACUCCCCCAUCUGACCUGGCGACCUGGCCCCCCCUUGCCGUAGCAUGAACUUUUUGUUUCUCCUCAAUCUCUAGUCGUGAUAGCAGCUGCCCCCAAGUCAAGCCAUCAAGUCAAGUCAUGGUCAAAGCUAGAUCCAAAAAUGUAGGUCCAAGGCACGAAGACUUUAGACUC